UAAAAUCUUUAAAAAAAAAAGAAUGGCCAAACUCUCAAACGCUGACUCUUCACUGACGGCAUGAAAUGCUGGCUGAUACGCUCUUGUUCGUUGCUGGUGGGAAUGCAAAAUAGUACAGCCACUUUGUACACAGUUUGACUUUUUUUUUCAAUUCUUUUUCCCCCCAGCUUUAUUGAGAUGUAAUUGACAUAUAAUAUUGUGUAAGUGUAAGAUGCAGGUUAACAUUUUCUUACAAAAGUAAAUAAACAUGCUGUUGGCAAAUGAUCCAGGAGUCACACUUGUUGGUAUUUACCCAAAGGAGUGGAAAAGUUAUGGACAUCAAUGUUAUGGCAUCUUUCCUUAUAAUUGCCAAAACUUAGGAGCAGCCAAGAUAUCCUUUAGAGAGUGAUGGUACUUGUACUUUGGUAUGUGUAAAUAAUGGAAUAUUAUUCAGCUCUAAAAAGAAAUGAGCAAUCAAGCCACGGAAACACAUGGAAGAAUCUUAAAUGCAUAUUACUAAGUAAAAGAAGCUAACCUGGUAUGUAAAUUCUACUUCAGUAAACAGCUUUUAAAAUGGCUUAGAUAGAAAAAAAGUUUGAAAAAAUGAAUAAGAGGUUGAAAUGUUAGGAGAUAUUUCUUGGUCACAGUGCUGUAAGUAGUUUUUCAUUUCUUUUUUGCGGGUUCUUGGGUUUCCCAGACGUAAUAAAAUGAUCACAUAUUACCUACCUAGUAAGAUCUUUUAAUACUUGUGACAGUCAGUGACUGCGCCCCCUGCUGGUUCUUGGGUUUCCCAGACGUAAUAAAAUGAUCACAUAUUACCUACCUAGUAAGAUCUUUUAAUACUUGUGACAAUCAGUGACUGCGCCCCCUGCUGGUGAGAGGACGGACACACACACACACACACACACACACACACACGAGACAAUCAGCGACUGCGCCCCCUGCUGGUGAGAGCGCGCGCACACCCGCUGCGCACGAUGCCGCCCCCUUCCCCCCCGCCCCACCCCAGGCUCAGGGCCCAGGCUCCCAAGCCUUACAGCACGUCUCCGGAGCUUUCUAAUUAGUGUUCUGUGGGGUUUGGGGGUUUUAUUUCCUUUGCCAGGCUGAACAGUCAAAAGAAGAGCAGAAGCAAGGUUUGAAUGCAGAGAAACUGAUGCGGCAGGUCUCCAAGGACGUGUGCCGGCUCCGGGAGCAGAGCCGCAAGGUGCCUCGGCAGGUGCAGUCCUUCAGGGAGAAGAUUGCCUACUUUACCAGAGCGAAGAUAAGCAUCCCGUCCCUGCCGGCUGAUGAUGUGUGAUUACACCCCCCAAAGAAAUUAUUCUGUCACCUGUUCACUUCUUAGGGAGGGUACAAGACUGAACUUUUGUUUUGUUUUGUUUUGUUUUGUUUUGGGGAGGGGGGUUCUUUUUGUAACGUAACUGUCAACUCUUAAAGAGCUUUUAUUUCACAUCAGAUUUUCAACAUGUUAAUUUGUAAAGUACCUUGAAUGUAAUUCUUGUAUGUUUAAAAAAAGAAAAAAAAAAAGUCAGAUAACCCAAAUGGAAUAAUCUGGUACACAAAUGUCGUCCAGUACAAACGAAUUGCCAGGAGGCUGUGUUUUGUACAAAUGGAAUCGGGGCAACGCCUGGUGUGUAUCCUGUUGAACCAACUGUUGAGAAAUAACUCGGUUUAGCAGACGGCGAUCUUGGCUUUUCCUUCAUUGUCUCACGGGCAGACUGUGAGGAUGGCAACGGGCCAGCUUGCUAUCUUUGUACCAGGGGGCAGCUCUUAGCGUUUGAAGGCAAAUGUGAGUCCAGCUCCAAGUCCACCCGGAACAGGUGUUGUGCGCUCACCCGGUGACCUCUGUUGGAGCACUUGCUUCCUUAAAACAAGUUCCUUUUUGUCCUUUUCUUUUAGUCUAAAGAAAACCAGAUGCUGAGUGAGAUCUCAGAACACAGAGGAGCAGUGCUCCCGGCUACAGUGAAGACCUUGUGAUCUGUCACAUUAGGGCGGGGGGUGGGGGGCGGAGGAGAAAGCCAGGUACCCUAACCACACUCGAGUCAGCUCCUCAGCGAGCACGACCGGGAUUUGCAGACGCGUCCCGGGGAGGUUCUGUCCGAGGUCUGAACGUGGUGCCCAGGACAAGCCCGGGGCAGCCGGCCCUCUGAGGACAGACAGCCCCGUGGAGGGAAACGCAUGAGCGCUUCUUUGGGGACACAGGAAUCUUGACUGGAUCCAAGUGGCCAAAAAAUUUUUUUAAAAAAACUUUAUUAAACAGAUUUCUCACAUUCACUAGAGAUUAUUUGCAGCUCUCAUGUUGAGGGGCUUCCCCUCUGUAAUCUGUGGUAAGGAGGCCAAGAGAAGAGUGUGCCUGGGGAGAUUAUCAAUUUGAAGUAUGGGCCAAGGCAUUUGUCUCAGAAAACAAUUCUAGAUGAACUAAAUGAAGAGAGAGGAAUGGACUCAAGUGUCCUCUGCGUCCCCAGCCGGGCACAGCUUAAAAGAAAGAGAUCCACCGUGUAGCUCUGCCGGCAUAAAGGCUUUUAAAAUGAAGAGUAUUAUGCAAUUUAAAUCCUACUUAUCAUUCAGUCAGUUACAGUGGAAGAGGCGAUUUUUGGUUAGCCAUCUUCUGUAGUGAAAUCAUUUUUUUUUUAGAAAUGCAAAAAUCACCUUCAAGGAAUAGACCCCUUAAAAAAAAAAAAAAAGGGUAAGUUCUAUUUCUAAGAUAGAAUCCCCAGCAAGGAUUUUUAGUUUUUUGAAAGUAAUUAUCCCUAUUUUGCAAAGUUCAUUUUAUCAGCAUCGAAAUUCAAAUUAAGCAAUUUCUGAGCCUGGAACUUUAAUUAUUUUUUCCUCAGUUGUCCCACCACUUAUAUCUAAAUGUCUCUGAAGCUAUAGCUGGAUGUGACACGACUUUGAACAAAACCCAGCCUUGUGAAUUGACUGCACACAGUCCUUCAAGGCCGCGCGGUUCAUUCUAUCAGAUGACUAAGGAGAACUAGAAAGAAUACCAUUCAUCCUUGUCAAGGUCAAAUGUGAAAGACAGAGGUUUAUUUAAUGUAGAGCUAAAUGAAGGUCAGCUGUUUUCAGCUUCUUAGUUCGACCGUGAAAAUGUUUAUAGAAUUAUGUGUAGUUGUGCCGUACGAUUUUAUUUUCUUCAUUUAUUUAUUUACGGUCUUAUUUAUGUUCUGUUUAAUAUAUAGUUCGGUUCUGGCCAUUUUAAAUGUUUGACAUAGAAGAGGCUAUAUUGGAAUAUCUACACCUUUAUAAAUCUUCAUCAGAUUCGCUGUUAACUUUUUGUAAUACAAAAAGUUUCAGACAAGUAUAAAAGAAUAAAAUCUGUCUCAGGCUGGUAGUUAACAGUUGUGACCAAGACACGUUGGGUUUUAUUUUACAAAAUUUCCUCAUUUCUAACAUGAGAAACGAACUUAUUUUAAUAUAAUCCUUUUCCACACUUUAAAAAUCAGCAAUAGUGUUAUGUAUUUAUAGGCAGCUUUUAACAAUUCUGUCAUAUUUGUACUAACCCAAAUGAUUCACAGUGACAAAACAUCUUAAUAACUUGAUCACAAAACCAUAUGAACAAUACAAAUUUUAAUAUUAUAAAUACUAUUUUUUAAAGGUAGAAUUUAUUCUGCACAGGGUAAAAAGAAUGUAAUAUUUAGUUCUCAAGUUUGAAUUAUCAGUAUGUUAUUAUAAUUUUGUAUAUCAGAAUCUAAGUUACAGGUACAAAAAAAAAAUAUUGCUAGCCAAAUGAACAAAGUUUAGCUGAAUCUCUGUAGCAUGCAAAUCAAAUUUAAAAUCUUUUUUUUUUGCUAUUACUUUAUAUUGUAUUAAAUAUCAAAAGCUCAGGACUGAACUAAAUAUUUAAUCAGGUUAAAUUCUGAAUAUGUUUCUGUUUUAAUUGUCUCGUCUGUAAAAGUAUGCAAAUACAUCACAUAGAUUAACUUUG
Molecule: non-coding RNA, 3901 nt
Organism: Leptonychotes weddellii (Weddell seal)
Lineage: Eukaryota; Metazoa; Chordata; Mammalia; Carnivora; Phocidae
Source: RefSeq, a predicted model, not a curated record